Molecule: small RNA, 29 nt
Filed under: Bombyx mori (domestic silkworm)
Lineage: Eukaryota; Metazoa; Arthropoda; Insecta; Lepidoptera; Bombycidae
Description: ovarian small RNA-16912
Source: RNAcentral
GCGCUUUGAUUUUCGGCGCCGGUUGCGUU